UGGGGAAUAUUGCGCAAUGGGGGAAACCCUGGCGCAGCGACGCCGCGUGUGGGAUGAAGGCCUUCGGGUUGUAAAGCACUUUCGGACGGAACGAAAUCGCGCGGGCGAAUACCCCGCGUGGAUGACGGUACCGUAAGAAGAAGCACCGGCUAACUACGUGCCAGCAGCCGCGGUAAUACGUAGGGUGCGAGCGUUAAUCGGGAAUUACUGGGCGUAAAGUGUGCGCAGGCGGCCGAGCAAGUCGAGUGUGAAAGCCCCGAGCUUAACUUGGGAAUUGCGCUCGAAACUACUUGGCUGGAGUGUGGCAGAGGAGGGUGGAAUUCCACGUGUAGCGGUGAAAUGCGUAGAUAUCGGAAGGAACACCAGUGGCGAAGGCGACUUCCUGGGCCAAUACUGACACUGAGGUGCGAAAGCGUGGGUAGCAAACAGGAUUAGAUACCCAUGUAGUCCCUGAGCGGGCUGGCAAGGCGCAU
RNAcentral lists this ribosomal RNA (473 nucleotides) under uncultured bacterium. RNAcentral's name for it is "bacterial SSU rRNA". It matches the Rfam family "Bacterial small subunit ribosomal RNA", at positions 355 to 825 of the family's 1533-position model. The record is from RNAcentral.